UGGGGAAUAUUGGACAAUGGGCGCAAGCCUGAUCCAGCCAUGCCGCGUGGGUGAAGAAGGCCUUAGGGUUGUAAACCCCUUUCACCGGUGACGAUGAUGACGGUAGCCGGAGAAGAAACCCCGGCUAACUCCGUGCCAGCAGCCGCGGUAAUACGGAGGGGGUUAGCGUUGUUCGGAAUUACUGGGCGUAAAGCGCGCGUAGGCGGACUAUUAAGUCAGGGGUGAAAUCCCGGGGCUCAACCCCGGAACUGCCUUUGAUACUGGUAGUCUUGAGUUCGAGAGAGGUGAGUGGAAUUCCGAGUGUAGAGGUGAAAUUCGUAGAUAUUCGGAGGAACACCAGUGGCGAAGGCGGCUCACUGGCUCGAUACUGACGCUGAGGUGCGAAAGUGUGGGGAGCAAACAGGAUUAGAUACCCCCGUAGUCC
This 424-nucleotide ribosomal RNA is filed under the name uncultured prokaryote. RNAcentral describes it as "bacterial SSU rRNA". It matches the Rfam family "Bacterial small subunit ribosomal RNA", at positions 355 to 796 of the family's 1533-position model. The record is from RNAcentral.